RNAcentral lists this long non-coding RNA (11363 nucleotides) under Selaginella moellendorffii. RNAcentral's name for it is "long non-coding RNA (SMOE_LNC001376)". The record is from RNAcentral. Lineage: Eukaryota; Viridiplantae; Streptophyta; Lycopodiopsida; Selaginellales; Selaginellaceae.
ACGGUUGUAGAGCUUGCAACCUUCCCUGAGUGGCUUCUUGCAAGUGUGGCAAGAGUUGAAGUCGAGCGCAACACUUUUUGGACCUGGGCAGACAUAGGAAGCAAACCCACAUUCGAGCGUGCAGGCUUUACCAGGUCCUGAGACGCAUACUGAUUUGCCAUGCCCCAAGUCCAUGCAACCUUGAGGAAUGGUGCAACAAGUAGCGCAGCUGCCUGGCUUCCAAGGAUGGACAGUGCCUCCACAAAUCUCCACGGCAUCCUUCAAGCAGGAGUUGUCAUCACCAUUUGGCAGUGGUGCACCAGUCUUUAAAUUGUAGAGAUGACAGCCAUUCGAAGGCUCCUUAUCCGGUGGGAGCACAGAAAUUGGAAUUCGGUUAGUUCCUCGGGAUGGGCAGACUUUGAUUUUUGGUGGAUGACAAAUUAAGGGGCAAGGACGAAAAGGGGAGGUGCCACCAAGACAAACUGGACUGCCAGUUCCAGGCUCGAGAUAUAUGCAUCCAGCCUCAAGCGCACAGCAACUGGAGCAUCCGUCGAGAGUGACAACAGCAUCACUACAAACCUGGAGACGAUGGCUGCUGGCUGCAAAAUCAUCUUGACAAGGCAUUCAAGAAGUCAGUCCUGAAAGAAAGAAUCAAAACUUGGAGAUCAACCUGCAGAUAUCAGAAGUAGCUGAAAGCUUAGGAUAGUGAGGAACAAGAAUGAAGCUGCCAUGUUGUUGUGGUGCUGAACCUCGGGCUGUUUGGAUUUAUAGUCAGACAGAGUCUUAUCUAUGUGAUGACUUGGCAUCUGAUCGAUCUCUACAAAAUCUCACGUUUUUUCCGGACUUGAAAGUUGCGUAUGGAUUGUACUGAUCGGGGGCCACCUAGCCUGACUCUCUGUGGUGAAACAACUCAUAUACUUCCAGAGAAGUGUCCCAUCAGUAUUUUGAUUAGGGCGACGUGGCCGGAAUGAAUUUCCACGUUGGUUAGCGGCAUGCCACGUCAUAAUAGACGAAGCGGCCAUGGCAGGGCUGCUUGGCCAUGGCGCUUCUUUCAACGUGGCCAGGCUGGGAGCACUAGGGUAGCAGCUCACAGCGCUGCCACAGUAAUGUGCUAUCCGAUCGAUCGAUCUUGGUCUCGGGUUUAGCUUCUAGAGGUUUCCGGCUUCGCCACAGCUAGUGGUUUCUUCCUCCGGCCUAUGGCACCGCUAGAAAAUCCUCCAAACCGACUCAGCCCUUGAAGAACAGAUCGAGAUUUAGGAGGAACAAGAGAUUGCACGAAAGGUCUUGCGUUGGGAGCUCGACCGGUGCCUAGCUGCUCUAUGGAAGAUUUGCCGUUCAAACGGAGAGUGCUCAUGAGAUUGAGCUCCAUCUAUAAAUUCAAUCCUUUAUGAGAUAUGAGUGCCACGUCUGCAUUUGACAAGGUGAUGCCGCGAUUCAAAUUUCUGGCGCUUGGAUGCCCGGUGCCUCAGCAUGGGUAAUACCAUAUGUAUUGAAAUAUCACAUAUUGAAUGAUUUUGGAACAGCUUAUGCACAACAAGGGAACUCUUUUGAUUAUAUAUACACAUUUGUGGGCUCAGCUGGAGGCAUUUACAAUAUACAAAUUGAUUUCCUUGUCCUAAUUUUAAUCUUGGAUUCCCCUUCUUUUGCCAAUGUCAAAAUUACUUUUGCCUGUUGAACUUUACUAGACCAAAGACAAGAAAUCCAUUUGCAUCCAUUGCAUUGUGGUUUAAUGCAUUUAGUUGUUGGGUGUUACAUGUAUACUUAUUCUUUCAAAGCCUAGAAAAAAAAAAUCAUUUGCUAUAAUCAUACUCCUUUACCUUUUUCUAGAAUAUAAUCUAAACCUUAAACCCUAAACCCGUGGCAAAAUUGAAGGCAACAGGUCUUGUGUGACUUUAAGAAUUGCAUGCAGUAACAACUGGAUCAAUCAAGUGGUUGAGAUCAAAAUCUUCAAAUUCUAUAAUAAGCCAAAACAUGAGACUCAUGAGGUAUUGGCUUGUAGUAUUUAUUUCCAAAGGCAAUUACUGAAGCCUGGUGAUUCAAGGCAAAAAAUUGAUGCCCUUUUGGCCCUUUUUGAGCCAUUUUACAUGGGUGUUUUUAAAAAUGCCCUUUAAAUAUUAGGUAAAAAUUACCAAAAUUUCUUUUACGUGAAGGAUGCGCUUCUAUAUAGCCCUUUUGUUCAAGGGCAAUAAAAUAAAAUAUUCUUUCAGAAUAUUUUUCUCUUUCUUAAUGGACAAUGAAUAUUCCGAAUUAAAUGAGCAAGGAGUCUCGAUGACUCUCUCAAUUGAUUAGAAUUUGGAUCGCAUGCCAUAGUUGUCUUGUUUAAGUUUUACACAGAAGAAAUUGAAAGGGCAACAAGAGUCAUCAUUCAGUUCUCAUACUGUACAUUCAAUCUUUUCUAUUUCCAUGCAUUUACUUGUAGAUCUUAGGAAAAAAGUACAUCCUUUCUUCCCUUUCUAGGCCCCCAUUGCCACAGCUCGCCAUGAUUGUCCAGAUCUGCGGUAGAAUCCAGUGCGGGAUUGAUUGCUCAGGCUCUUUAGCCCGGGAUUUCUUCGACUGGAUGGCUUCACCUCUCGCAAUACCAUUGAUGCAUGAGUGCGUGGAAGCAAAUGUUCCAGCGGUGCUGUUGGCAUGAUCGUCGUAUUGGAGGGCUUGGUUCUCAUCCACCAGCUGAGAAUCUGGGCAGGCAGGGCAGAUCGAGCUCCCACAGCUCCAGAAAAUUGGUAAGAUAUCUUCUAACUUAUCAAUCGACGUGCAAAACUCAUGAAGCUCCUCUUGCAGGAAGGAACAAGCCGAGCUUCCACUAUCUCGCCGCCGAAUCGACAGCCAACUGCGACUAGUUCUAGCGGAGGAAAGCCUUGGUACGUUCUUCUUUUAAACUGGGAACUGACAAAGUUUCUAUCCAGUUCUUAGUUCCAGACGCUAGACUUCGAUGCAAUGAAAGAGAGAAGAGAGAAUCUGGACAGUCUUAAGCCCAAGAUCGUUGACAUGGUUGUCAAGAAGAUGAAGCAUAACACAUAUCUCUCGCUCGAUUUCUUUACGCUGGCCAUGAGAAUCUCCAGCUUCCGGCACGACGUGGUGAUGGUCAUGAUCCUUGGAGUCGAUGGCAACUAUCUUGGUGAUCACAGACAUGCCCCGUGGAAACGAUCUCUAUGUGAAGACGAGGAAGCUGUGGCCGCCACAUCGUCCGAGACAGCAGAAAGACCCCCAAGUAGGCUUGGAUAGAUUCAGCAUGGUAGCAGUCCAACACCAGCUCGGGAGGAAGACUUAAACAGCCUACAAGAAGGAAAGCAACUCCGUGGAUCUGAUCAUGAGUCUUUUAUAGGCAACAACACGAGCAAUGCGUGAAGGGGGCCAGAGAAGCUAUUGAGAAGUACUCAUUAGGUGCUGGUCGACCUCAAGUUCUUACUAAGCCAGGAGUUGGAUGCUCUCCAUGAGACUCGUGACCACGUACUGAGUCGCUUACUUGAAAUGGAUGGCGGGAUGCAGAAUCCGAAUCCCGAUUAUGUGCAGCGCGCUGGACAAUGUUCCCAGUGCCAGCCUAGACACACUGGGAUAACCUGUGCUCAUUGUGCUAUUGAUCUCAUGUUUCAGGUACAAUCUACUUCUUUCUUGUGUGGAUAAACAGAAAUAUGCAAAUAGGCGAUUUUACUUGACGUCCCGAGCAGCUGAAUUAGAUGGCAUUGUUACUGCAGAAGACGCCUUUGUUUCUCAAGUACGUUCACAGGCAGGAGAAAAGGAGCAGCAGUAGCUGCGGUAAGGCAACUUCUUUUUGUUUUUCUAACUUUUUUCUUUUGUUUUUCUUUCCUUCGAGCUUAAAUAUUUCUUUUCACAGGUUACGCACAGAUGUUCUGAAACGGAAAUGGUUUUAAAAAUUUUACUUGCAUACAUGAAAGCGGAAACGAACCUUGAGGAGGAUGAGAUAGAAGCCGCAAAGAAGCACCUCGAGUACCUUGAAGUAAACACUCCUGUGCUUAUUUGUAAGUCUGUUUGACAAACCGUGUCAAUUCAGGCAUUGCGUAGCGAAUAUGCAGCGGCGAGACGCUUGACAACAGCACAACAAUUAGUUCUAACUGCAUUGGACGAGCUGAGCAUGUCGACAACAAGGCUAUGUUUGCUUGCAAGGUGCCAAGGCUGCAGACGGCAAUCCUUUUGGUGAUGAAGGCUACGAGAUAGCAAUUAGAAACGCGGCGCUUACCAACGAAAAAUUUGUUGCUGUUGAGAAUCUAUCUCGUGUGAAGAGGCAGCUCAGAUACUUGAAGGUAUUAGGCUUAAGUUUUCUUCUAUUCGCAGCUCCUCUCAUUUCCGGAUUGCAGGGUCUAAGGAAUAAGAAGGACGAGGGGCAUAACAGUUUGGAAGGAGAAAUUUGCCCAGUUUGCCACGAUGGCAUAGAAUCUGGAGCAAUGGUCCUUCCGUGCGGCCAUUUGCUUUGUGGCAAGUGUAAGUUUUUGGUGUCUUACUUUGUUGGUUUCCUGAGCAAAUCUUCAUUUUACUUCGCAGGUUUGAAUCUUAUUGUGGACCGCCAGAAAGCACCAGCUAACGGUGCUGAUUUCAAGCGCAUUGCAUGUCCAACGUGCAGACAACAGACUUAUGUCUCUAAUAUAUGCUGAAGCGGCUUCUUCGAAAAUUGCUGAAAUCCUCCAGGAAGAAGAAGAGGACGAAGAAAAAUCUAUAACCGUGGCAGGGUCGUACGGAACAAAGGUAAUCUCGCUUUGUCGUCUGCUUUUUAUUUUAAUUCUUUUGCAAGUUUGAAGAUUGAAGCUGUCGUCAGAAGAAUUCUUAGUCUGAAAGAAGACGAUCCGUUUGUGACAAUUCUUGUGUUCUCGACGUGGCAAGAAGUGCUGGACUUGUUAGAACACGCACUGAAGAGCAACAAGCUCAGCUGGGUUCGAUUAAAGCAGCGCAGGUAACAUCGAUAAUCUGUUUUACUUUUACUCAUGUGCUCGUUUUGUGUUUUUCACAGACAAAUGGGUUCUUCCAUCUUGGAAUUUAAGAAGGAGAACAUCCAAGUCAUGUUACUGCCCACACAACAUGGUGCCAAUGGCCUGAACUUAAUAGAGGCCCAACACGUUAUUUUGGUGGAGCCUUUGCUCAAUCCGGCAGUAGAAGCUCAGGCUAUCAAUCGAGUCCACCGGAUUGGCCAACGUCUAAAGACACUUGUACAUAGAUUCAUUGUAAGUUACGUACGUUUCUUCUGUUUUCCAAUUACUGACGACAUUUCCAGAUACGUAACACUGUGGAGGAGAACAUCUACAAAAUGAGCCAGCAGAAGACGAACCUCCUUCCAAUGAAACAAAAAGAGCAGCCUCUUUCAGCAAAUGACAUGAACAGCUUACUAGCUUGGGACGAACUGAAAGAGAACACAUCUACUUCAAACACCCCCAGUGGUUCUACUCCUGAUACUUUCCGAGAUUUAACUCCGGCUCAAGCUGCUGCUGCUGCUGCUGAAUCGCGGCUCUUGUGACUACAGGCCAACGCUUGCCUAUAGAUUCCUUGUAAGUACUUUCUCUUGCAUGUCCGGAUUCUGAACCUUUGUAUUUUCUAGCAGAGAAGGAACAUUCUUUAAUCGAAAGAUGAGCUUUCGGUAAGUUUUUCUUUUGGCGAGGGGUUUAGCUAGCUAGCAACAGAGAUGGGUGCCAAGUUUCAGCCCCUUCCUCGCUUCUACUGGACGAAGGAACAGAUUGCUGCGAUCAGAGACCUGUGCCGUGACGACGAUCUCUACGUGAAGACGAAGUAUGGUAGGAAACUGAGGCCGCCGCCUCGUCCGCGACUAAGUCGAGAGCAGGAACGCUUUGUUCGCGCAGACCCUCAAGCAGGCUUGGAUAGAAUCAGUGGGCAGUGGGUAGCACUCCAACACCAGCUCGGGAAGAAGCCUUACACAGCCGAGGAGCAGGAAGGCAACUACGUGGGUCCGAUUCUGGGUCACAAGCAAUACAGGUGCGAGCUCCAUCUUCACAGGGGACAGAAGCAGUGGAAUGUCCAUGCAGUCGGGGACAAGUUUCUGGUCUACGAGACACUUCCUCCCGCGACCGACACCGGUGAUGAUCCUCCGGUGCUUUGUGGUCGCGACAAGUUCGUCAUUGGUCGCCCUCUGUCAGUAACAAUGGACAACCGGGCGACAAAUGUUUCCUCGUCAUGGAACUCGUUUCCAGUGUGGAGCUUGCCAGAAGAAGGCAAAGAGGGAACGAUCGGGAACUAUAUGGUGCCGAGCAGUAAGGUGGCGCUGCCGGGUUUAGUUCCAGGCAAAGGAGCGCUAGUCUUCGAUGCCUUGUACGAGACUGUGAAGGAAGGAGGAGCGAGCUGGAGCUCCGAGAUGGUUGAGAAGCUGGACAGGCUCAAGCGUGGGAUAACGCACCCCCACCAGGUCUGCGUGGUUCUCAAGAAGAUCAAGCACGACGCAUCUCUCUCGCUCAAGCUCUUUACGUGGGCCAAUACGAUCCCAGGCUUCAAGCACGACUUGGUAAACUACUCGACGAUGAUCAUGAUCUUGGGAGAUGACGGGAACUAUCUCAUGGCCGAGGCGCUUUUUGUUGAGAUACAGGAGCUCGGGCUUCGCCUUGACACGUUUGCAGUGAACAACAUGAUCCGCUGCUACACAAGAGUGAACCGGAUCCAGGAAGCUCUCGACCUCUACAGGAAGAUGCCAUACUUUGGCUGUCACCCGGACAAUUGCACCUUCGGCCUCCUCAUCGACUGGUGCGGCAAGUUCGGCUCCCGGAAGGAGCUCCAACGGAUCUUCCUCGACUUGAGAGCCUCCCCCCACAAUGCCGACGCGCAGACGUUCAACACAAUGAUCCACAACUUCUGCAAGCAGCGGGACUUCGCAAACGCCAGGGAAGCUGCCAACCAGAUGAAAGCCUGGGGGAUUCCAUUCUCCUCUGCAACGUACGCCAUCCUCAUCCACAUGUACGCCAAGGCUCGAGACUCGAAAGCAGCGGCAGAGCUCUACGCGGACUACCUCCGCUCCGGCCUAGAGCCAAACUUGAUCGUCUACAACAACGUGAUACUGAGUUACGGUUCCAGCGGCUUCCCUGGCCAUGCGCAGAACAUCCUGGGUGAUAUACGAAAGGCCGGCCUCGCUCCAGAUCGAUUCACGUACUGCACGCUCAUAAGUUCGUGGGCGAGAGCCGGAGCUAUGCUGCAAGCCCGGCGAUGGUUCAACAAAGCCUGCAAGACGAAGGCCGGUCCAAGCAUCGAGAUGUGCAACGCGCUCAUCGAUGGCUACCUCAAGGCCCGAGAAGUGGAACCGGCUAAGUUCAUCCUCACCAAAGUCAUGCCGGAGAGAGGCAUGGAGCCGACGCUGCAAACGUACACGAUCCUCCUGGGCCACUACACGAGCAGCGUCAAGGUGGCGGACUCGAGAGCAGUGAGAGAGAUGAUGAAGUCGUCCUCGAAACCAGCAGCAGCAGCAGCAGGAGGAGGAGGAGGAGGAGGAGAUGAUCAUCCCGGCGUGGACGAGUUCCUGAACGAGAUCCUGCAAGGCCUCCGCGCGAUCAAGGAGCUCAAGAGCUACUCGAGGGAGUUUUUCCGCAAGCUGAGGAUGGACAAGCCUCCUCGCUGGGGGCGAUGGCUGGCGGAUGCUCUCGUCAACCAUCUCCACUGCUUUGGCUACGCUCGCGAGGCCUUCUACGUGUGGGAGGGUGUCUCCUCCACAGAGCUCUACCCGAGAGGGAUCUGGGAGGACUGGCAGGGAGCGUGGUUUAUCUGGCUCCAGGAUAUGAGCUCCGGGACUGCGAUGGUGGCGCUCACCAGUGGAUUGAUCGUGUCCAGGCGGAAGCUCGCGCGGGGAUUCGAUAGGCCGGAGCGAGUGAUCAUCGUGUGUGGCUAAGAGCAAGGAGGUGACCCAUGCGGUGAACAGGACGCUGGUGGCUCUAGACUCGCCGUUUGAGCCUUUCAUCUCUAUGGGGAGAUUUAUGUGCGAGGGGAACUUGUUUAGAGACUGGCUGUGGGAGAAGCAAGUUGCUAUAGAGCUCACCAUGGAUGCUUAUAUGUAAUUAGCGCAUUAGUGGGAUGGUAAAAAGGACCAAGAUUCGUUGGAUCUAGCCUUUUGCUUUGCUUUAUUUUUUCUUAAGUUCAGGUAUUUAGGAUUUUUCUUAGGCUGCAAAUUAGCACAUGGAUGUGAUAAGGCAAGAGCGAGCCAUAUGUUGUUUCAACUCAGAGGAAGCUGAUGAGCUGGUUAUGCAUGAUUUGUCUCUGUGGAGAUCUAUAACAUGGAAUACUGGGAAAGUAACCAUUAUGCCUAGGUAAAGUUUGUUUGGAACUUCUUCAUAAGUGCAAGAUUACAAAGAGAUUGCAGACAACAAGUCUCGUUGUCAAACUUUACAUAUGUAAUAUAUAUACAUUAUUUAAACAACCAUGCCCAGAGCUGUUUAUUUUAUAUAAAUACAGCAUCAUCUUCUAGGCAAGCUGGAGUAGAUCAUCCUCCUUGACGCACAGCUGGUGCCCCUGACGGUUGUAGAGCUUGCAACCUUCCUUGAGUGGCUUCCUGCAAGUGUGGCAAGAGUUGAAGUCGAGCGCAACACUUUUUGGACCUGGGCAGACAUAGGAAGCAGAGCCACAUUUGAACGUGCAAGUUUUAUCAGGUCCUGAGACGCAUAUCGAUUUGCCAUGCCCCAAGUCCAAGCAACCUUGAGGAAUGCUGCAACAAGUAGCGCAGCUGCCUGGCGUCCAAGGAUGGACAGUGCCUCCACAAAUCUCCACGGCAUCCUUCAAGCAGGAGUUGUCAUCACCAUUUGGCAGUGGUGCACCAGUCUUUAAAUUGUAGAGAUGACAGCCAUUCGAAGGCUCCUUACCCGGUGGGAGCACAGAAAUUGGAAUUUGGUUAGUCCAUCGGGAUGGGCAGACUUUGAUUUUUGGUGGAAGACAAAUUGGGUGGCAAGGACGAAAAGGGGCGGUGCCACCAAGACAAACUGGACUGCCAGUUCCAGGCUCGAGAUAUAUGCAUCCAGCCUCAAGCGUACAGCAAUUGGAGCAUGCGUCCAGAGUGACAACAGCAUCACUACAAACCUGGAGACGAUGGCCGCUGGCUGCAAAAUCAUCUUGACAAGGCAUUCAAGAAGUCAGUCCUGAAAGAAAGAAUCAAAACUUGGAGAUCAACCUGCAGAUAUCAGAAGUAGCUGAAAGCUUAGGAUAGUGAGGAACAAGAAUGAAGCUGCCAUGUUGUUGUGGUGCUGAACCUCGGGCUGUUUGAAUUUAUAGUCACACAGUGGCAUGCGAUCGAUCUCUACAAAAAUCUCACGUUUUUUCCGGACUUGAAAGUUGCGUAUGGAUUGUACUGAUCGGGGGCCACCUAGCCUGGCUCUCUGUGGUGAAACAAAUCAUAUACUUCCAGAGAGGUGUCCCAUCAGUAGUUUGAUCGGUGAGGUCCGAUGUGGCGCCCUUAUUAGGGCGACGUGGCCGGAAAUACAAAGGAUUGCAUGCCACGUCAUAAUAGACGAGGUUAGCGAAGCGGCCAUGGCGGGGCUGCUCGGCCAUGGCGGUUCUUUCAACGUGGCCAGGCUGGGAGCACUAGGGUAGCAGCUCACAGCGCUGUCACAGCAAUGUGCUAUCCGAUCGAUCGAUCUGGGUCUCGGGUUUAGUUUCUAGAGGUUUCCGGCUUCUCCACAGCUAGUGGUUUCGUCCUCCGGCCUAUGGCACCGCUAGAAAAUCCUCCAAACCUUGAAGAACAGAUCGAGAUUUAGGAGCAGCGAGAGAUUGCACGAAAGAUCUUGCGUUGGGAGCUCGACCGCAAUUCUGCCUAGCUGCUCUAUCGAAGAUUUGCAAGUCGAGCGUUCAAACAGAGUGCUCAAGAGAUUGAGCUCCGUCCAUAAAUUCAAUCCUUUCUGGGCUCCGACCAAUGUGAUGCCGCGAUUCAAAUUUCUGGCGCUUGGUGCCUCAACAUGGGUAAUACCAUACGUAUUGAAAUAUCACAUAUUGAAUGAUUUUGGAACAGCUCAUGCACAACAAGGGAACUCUUUUGAUUAUAUAUACAUAUUUGUGCAGUUGGAGGCAUUUAUACAAUAUACAAAUUGAUUUCCUUGGAUUUCUUGUCUUUGGUCUAGUAAAAUUCAACAUUGGCAAAAGAGAACUCCAAGAUUAAAAUCAGGACACCAUUUGCAUCCAUUGCAUUGUGGUUUAAUGCAUCUAGUUGUUGGGUGGUACAUGUAUACUUAUUCUUUCAAAGCUAGAAAAAAAAUUUCAUUUGCUACAUGCAAUCUAAACCCUAAACCCUAAACCUUAAAUAGACACGUGAAAAAAGGGUGGCAACCCUUCAAUUUUGAUUUUAAUGAUGCUCCAAUAAGCCAUUUAUCUCUAUGGGGAGAUUUAUGUGCGAGGGGAACUUGUUUAGAGACUGGCUGUGGGAGAAGCAAGUUGCUAUAGAGCUCACCAUGGAUGCUUAGAAUUAAUAUGUAAUUAGUGCAUUAAUGGAAGGGUAAAAAGGACAAAGAUUCGUUGGAUCUAACCUUUUGCUUUGCUUUAUUUUUUCUUCAAGUUCAGGUAUUUAGAAAUUUUCUUAGGCUGCAAAUUAGCACGCCAUAUGUUGUUUCAACUCAGAGGAAGCUGAUGAGCUGAACACCAAUGCAUUGUGAUGUAUGAUUUGGCUCUGCGGAGAUCUAUAACAUAGAAUAUUGGGAAAGUAAACAUUAUGCCUAGGUAAAGUUUGUUUGGAACUUCUUUGUAAGUGCAAGAUUACAAGACAACAAGUUGCGUUGUCAAACUUUAUAUAUAUAAUAUAUAUAUAUACAUUUCAAGUACCCGUUAUUUAAACAACGAUGCCCAGAGCUGUUUAUUUUAUAAAUACUGCAUCAUCUUCUAGGCAAGCUGGAGUAGAUCAUCCUCCUUGACGCACAGCUGGUGCCCCCGACGGUUGUAGAGCUUGCAACCUUCCCUGAGUGGCUUCUUGCAAGUGUGGCAAGAGUUGAAGUCGAGCGCAACACUUUUUGGACCUGGGCAGACAUAGGAAGCAAACCCACAUUCGAGCGUGCAGGCUUUACCAGGUCCUGAGACGCAUACUGAUUUGCCAUGCCCCAAGUCCAUGCAACCUUGAGGAAUGGUGCAACAAGUAGCGCAGCUGCCUGGCUUCCAAGGAUGGACAGUGCCUCCACAAAUCUCCACGGCAUCCUUCAAGCAGGAGUUGUCAUCACCAUUUGGCAGUGGUGCACCAGUCUUUAAAUUGUAGAGAUGACAGCCAUUCGAAGGCUCCUUAUCCGGUGGGAGCACAGAAAUUGGAAUUCGGUUAGUUCCUCGGGAUGGGCAGACUUUGAUUUUUGGUGGAUGACAAAUUAAGGGGCAAGGACGAAAAGGGGAGGUGCCACCAAGACAAACUGGACUGCCAGUUCCAGGCUCGAGAUAUAUGCAUCCAGCCUCAAGCGCACAGCAACUGGAGCAUCCGUCGAGAGUGACAACAG